CCUAUAUAAACUAUAUAAACCUUAAAUAUUUUUGGUAACACAAAUAAAGCUGUUUUUGUAAGCCUUCUUGUCAUACUAUAUAUUAAGUUUCACUUUUUUCUUGACUAAAAUAAUCAUUUUCAAAUAUAUCUUUUAAUGUGCUUUCAAGUAAAACAAAGGUCAAGAAAUUAAUGUUUUACCUCAGUGCCAGCAUUACAAUUAUCGUUAACAUAAAAAUAAGAAAAACAAAUAUCAUUAAUCAUUAAUACAAAGUCUUUUAAUAAUCUUUUAAAAUAUAUGAGUCAUUUCCCUUUGAACAGAAAUGGAUUAAUUCAUCAAAAAUUUAAUUCUUAGGUAAGGGCUAAAACUGAACAACAAGAAAAGCUAAAAUUGUGAAAAUUGAACUUGACCUUCAUUUAGUCACAGGAAAAAAACAUAUCUAAAUUUGAAAAAAAAUCUUCAAAGUGUAUUCAUGUAAAUGAACAGACAAUAUUUGUUAUUUAUCAAUAUACUUGGGUAUAAAAGAUUGCAUAACAUGAUUGAUAUCUAAAUCACCCAAUGUGUAUCACUACCCUUCACAGUUUACACAAAACAUUUCAGUGAAGUGAUCAUUAUAGAGAUCCUAUUCAGUCAAACUCAUUUUUUUAUGUUAUGUUAUACUUUGAUAUACAAGUUACAAAAUGACAUGUAUUUGAGUUACCAUUCUUAUCAAGAAAACAUUGUUUUAUUAAAUAUUACAUAAGUAAUGCAUGGUGUAUUAACCUGUUAUAAAAAUAGGUUCAACAACAAAUGUACAAUCAUGAACAAAGGAAGACAACUCCAUUUCAAAUGUUUAAUUUGACCAGCAAAAUACAAUUUAAAGUUUUAUCUAAAAAUAAAAAAAAACAUUGGUUGAACUGAUCAUGUUAUUUACUACAUUUAUAUGACAUCAAUUGCCACAAGUCAAUUAUGAAAUCUUAUCCAGUUAAUAACAACACAAGCCUGUCAAUUUUUUCAUUUCAGGAUAAUAACUCCUAUAAACAUGAUAAAUAGUAAAAUUGAUGACUUUAAACUACAGUAUAUUUUGUUAUUGGCAAUGUAGCUCUACAUGUUUUUAUUACAUUUUCAAGGUAAUAUUAAAAACAAAUGGCCAGAAACAUUAUUAUUAAAGACAUUUGUUUUUUUUUCAAUGCAAAAACAAAUAAAAAAAUAUCAGUGACUAUUUUCCAUGUUUUCUUUUUUCUCUACUAAAUAUACCUUUAUUGCACUUUUCUUUGCUGUAAUGACAACUUACUUGAACUACAACAGUUGACCAAGUAUCCCUGUGGAUUAGUCACUGGAUAACCAGGGAAAUUAUCCAUUGAAUUCAUAUUUAUAAAUAGUUACUUUUACAAACCAUAAUUAAUGCACAAGUUUUUGGAAUACAUAUAUAUAUAUAUAAAAUAACAUGAUUACACAAAUUGUUCAGUUUUCUUCCCUUUUGAUUCCAAGUACUAGUUAUGUUCAUUGACCAUACCCUUUUAAAGAAUUGUUAAGUUAUUCUGUAGAGGAUUUGACUAGUUGACUACUCUCACAAACACCUUGAAUUUCAAUUAUUGUGAGUGACUGGUAAGUCUUGAUAUCUACAAAAGUUAGUUUAUAUAUUUUGACCAAUCUGUUAUAAGAUAAUAAAAGAAGAGUUCAAAUGUCCCUCCUGUUUCACAUAUUUUAUCUAUCCAAAGUAUAAAGGCGCUUUUUUUUGUUUCAUUAAAGCUUUUUAUUAAUAUCUGAGGUGUAUAAAGAGUCCAUAGCAAAUGCAAUGUGAUUUCCAUUAUAAAUAACAUUUCCAACGGGUAUAACCAUUAAACAAAUUUGACCCGCACUUAUUUUCAAAAUUCUCAAAACAUUGCUAAUAUAAACCUAUGAUAUUAGUUUCAUAAAAUUUUGGCAAUAACUGAACACAUGAGAGUGCUGACAAUCCAGUUUUCCAUAUAAUCAAUAUUUCCAAGGGGUAAACUCUCAAAAAUAAUUGAUCAGCCCUAAUUUUUAAACUCAUAAAAGACAUUGCUGAUACAAACCUAGGAUAUAAUUUUUCAUAAAAAUCUGACAAGAACUGAGCACACCAGAGCGCUAACGAUACAAUUUUCCAUUUAAUUAAUGUUUCCAAGGGACAUAAUUCUUUUAAAAUCAAUUGAUCAGCAUAAAAAUCUAGCAAGAAUUGUGAACAUUACAGCGCUAACAAUGGACAGACAAUGAAUGGAUGGACGGACACCCAGUAUUUUUGUAUCCCCUGCAACGGUUUGCCGAGGUGUCCAUAAGCAUAUUAAGUUCGAAAAAAACUACUGUACAUUGGUUUUCAGUAAGCAUGACGUUUCAAUUGUUAACCAAGUGCAUAAUUCAAUUAAAUACAUACAAGAUGAAAUUAUAUGAUUAAGGAAUUGCUGAAAAAUAGUAGAUAGUUUUUUAUCAUCAUGUGUAUACAAACAUAUACAUGUAUAAUAAUGCUGCAUUCUAUUUUUCAUUUCUAACAAUUUAAAUCAAUAAAAUACUUUUCAAGACUAGAUUUUAAAGAAGGAGAAUAACUCAACAUAAACUAUUAACGUACAUGAUAUGUUUUGAACUGUUUAACAA
RNAcentral lists this long non-coding RNA (2568 nucleotides) under Mytilus galloprovincialis (Mediterranean mussel). Lineage: Eukaryota; Metazoa; Mollusca; Bivalvia; Mytilida; Mytilidae. The record is from RNAcentral.